CAACUUGAAGCUUAUUUAGUAAAGCAUUUCAUUUACACUGAAAAGAUUAUUGUGCAAAUCAAUGUGGGUUGA
Molecule: transfer RNA, 72 nt
Filed under: Hemipenthes neimengguensis
Lineage: Eukaryota; Metazoa; Arthropoda; Insecta; Diptera; Bombyliidae
Description: tRNA-Val
Rfam family: tRNA
About the family: Transfer RNA (tRNA) molecules are approximately 80 nucleotides in length. Their secondary structure includes four short double-helical elements and three loops (D, anti-codon, and T loops).
Source: RNAcentral